Molecule: transfer RNA, 67 nt
Filed under: Marmota monax (woodchuck)
Lineage: Eukaryota; Metazoa; Chordata; Mammalia; Rodentia; Sciuridae
Description: tRNA.Ala
Source: RNAcentral
GGCGUUGUGGCUCAGUGGUAGUGCUCUCACCUAGCAAGCGGGGCCCUGGGUUCAGUCCUCAGCACCA